GCGGGUAUGGCGGAACUGGUAGACGCGCCGCACUCAAAAUGCGGUGCCCAAAAGGCGUGGGGGUUCGAUUCCCUCUACCCGCACCA
This 86-nucleotide transfer RNA is filed under the name Bradyrhizobium sp. RNAcentral's name for it is "tRNA-Leu". It matches the Rfam family "tRNA". Rfam says of the family: Transfer RNA (tRNA) molecules are approximately 80 nucleotides in length. RNAcentral also lists the same sequence under 3 other names. The record is from RNAcentral. Lineage: Bacteria; Pseudomonadati; Pseudomonadota; Alphaproteobacteria; Hyphomicrobiales; Nitrobacteraceae.